AACGAACGCUGGCGGCAUGCCUAACACAUGCAAGUCGAACGAGACCUUCGGGUCUAGUGGCGCACGGGUGCGUAACGCGUGGGAACCUGCCCUUAGGUUCGGAAUAACUCCCCGAAAGGGGUGCUAAUACCGGAUAAUGUCUUCGGACCAAAGAUUUAUCGCCUUUGGAUGGGCCCGCGUUGGAUUAGCUAGUUGGUAGGGUAAAAGCCUACCAAGGCAACGAUCCAUAGCUGGUCUGAGAGGAUGCUCAGCCACACUGGGACUGAGACACGACCCAGACUCCUACGGGAGGCAGCAGUGGGGAAUAUUGGACAAUGGGCGAAAGCCUGAUCCAGCAAUGCCGCGUGAGUGAUGAAGGCCUUAGGGUUGUAAAGCUCUUUUACCCGGGAUGAUAAUGACAGUACCGGGAGAAUAAGCUCCGGCUAACUCCGUG
This 433-nucleotide ribosomal RNA is filed under the name uncultured bacterium. RNAcentral describes it as "partial 16S ribosomal RNA". It matches the Rfam family "Bacterial small subunit ribosomal RNA", at positions 29 to 507 of the family's 1533-position model. The record is from RNAcentral.